This 253-nucleotide ribosomal RNA is filed under the name uncultured bacterium. RNAcentral describes it as "partial 16S ribosomal RNA". It matches the Rfam family "Bacterial small subunit ribosomal RNA", at positions 524 to 776 of the family's 1533-position model. The record is from RNAcentral.
UACGUAGGGUGCAAGCGUUGUCCGGAAUUAUUGGGCGUAAAGAGCUCGUAGGCGGUCUGUCACGUCGGCUGUGAAAUCCCGAGGCUCAACCUCGGGUCUGCAGUCGAUACGGGCAAACUAGAGUAUUGCAGGGGAGACUGGAAUUCCUGGUGUAGCGGUGAAAUGCGCAGAUAUCAGGAGGAACACCGGUGGCGAAGGCGGGUCUCUGGGCCGAUAUUGACGCUGAGGAGCGAAAGCGUGGGGAGCGAACAGG